Non-coding RNA from Cinara cedri, 734 nucleotides. Lineage: Eukaryota; Metazoa; Arthropoda; Insecta; Hemiptera; Aphididae. The record is from the annotation of a GenBank genome assembly.
UAACUGUACGUAUAUUUGUCGGCAUCAGGUUAUACGAGUCAUGAAAGAAACUCAUACAUCGAAACAUAGUCAAAUUAGGUACCUAUUAAAAAAUAAAAAAAAAAAAAUAAAAAAAAAAAACCGAAUAUAAAACAUAUAUUAUAAUGAUUAUAUUUGAACGUAUGAGUGUAGUAUGAGCUCGUAUAAGCUCGUAGGUAGAACAUAUAUUUAAACUCGUUUUGAACCCACACCGACGUAAUAGUAAUAAUAUAAUAUUUUUGGCCUACUAUUAGGGUUACGGUAUUUUUUUUUUCCAGAUUCAAUGCGUAGUGUGAAAAAACUGUUUCGGGUAGGGGGGAAACACUUUUUAAAAUGCUCUCGUUUUUUUCACGCACCGUGUGUCAGAGGUACCUUCCUCGGAAAGAUGCGGAUUUGAAUAAAUUUGAUAAAAUCCUCCAGACAACUUUCAUUAAAAAUUAAAACAAAAAACAGAUUAGAAAUUGAUGUCGGAAUUGCACGAGUUAACAAAGUUCCGCUCAGAAUCGUUUUUUUUUAUUACAAUGUUUCACCGUUGCUCCCGGCAUAAUAUGGAAACUAAAAUACCACUUGGAUAUCUAAUAUAAAUAAAACAAAAUCUUCUAAAUUUCCUAUCUACAACAGCGGCAUACUUAUGAUGCGAAAUAUGUCCGGCAUUUUUUUUCAUCUAAUGGUCAAUAAAUGUAUCGUGUACAAAUAUUAUUAUAAUUAUAAAUACU